Molecule: long non-coding RNA, 409 nt
Filed under: Gallus gallus (chicken)
Lineage: Eukaryota; Metazoa; Chordata; Aves; Galliformes; Phasianidae
Description: lncRNA (ENSGALG00010027573.1)
Source: RNAcentral
AGCCAGAAGUGCUUAGAAACUCCUGAGUAUCCUGCCUGAGACCCAAGUGAUGUUUUCCAAAUAAUGUCCCUGGGGGAAGACACAGCAGCAGACACUGCAAAGCCAUGAAGAUUAUUUGAGUCAUUCUGGAUUUGCUGUGGGACAAAAAACACAGGAUGUGGCCAGAUCCAGCAAACAUACUUUUCAAUCAGAUUUACAUAAAAUCCACUCCUUCACCCACCAGACACACAUACAAAAAAAACAAAAUAAUAAUCAUAUCAAAACAGAACUGAUUGUGAAACCUCCUUUUGUCCUGUGAGAAUUUCAGAUUUCAGAAGUUUUACCAUCAAAACUUGAUAAUUCUUGCAGGCCAGUAAUCCAUGAAGAAUUCACCAUAGGUCUUUUGAGAUAUUUUUCAUGCUUUAGGUCC